CAACAGAGGGCCGGCCCUGUUCAGCUGUCCCCCUGAUUGGAGCCCACACCGGGGCUGACACUGAAUUAUUUCAGGAGCUAAACGGUUCCCGACCCUGGAGAAGAUAGUCAUGUGAACGGAAAACUUAAAAGCUGAGAAUCUCUUGUCAAGAAAACAAGAUAUAAUUGGUCUCAGUCCUUGAACUGCUUGUGCUUCACACUCGUGUCUAAAGGAUCGGGUGAGUGCACCACUGCUGGCUCCCCACAUUCUGCACAUUCGAUGAGGUGACAGGGCAGUGAUGAUAUAAGAGCACAAAAACAGCAAUCUCCCAAGUCCUUAUAGGCAAAAGAACAGAGAAAUAGAGA
Long non-coding RNA from Gambusia affinis (western mosquitofish), 344 nucleotides. RefSeq lists it as uncharacterized. The transcript is spliced from 3 exons. The record is from RefSeq and is a predicted model, not a curated record. NCBI's taxonomy places the organism in Eukaryota, Metazoa, Chordata, Actinopteri, Cyprinodontiformes, Poeciliidae.